AAUCAACGCUGGCGGCGUGCCUCAGACAUGCAAGUCGAACGCGAAAGUUCCCUUCGGGGAGCAAGUAGAGUGGCGCACGGGUGAGUAACACGUGGAUAAUUUACCUUCGGGUGGGGAAUAACAGUCGGAAACGGCUGCUAAUACCGCAUAAUGCAGCGGCAUCUAUGAUGACAGUUGUUAAAGCGGGGGAUCGCAAGACCUCGCGCCUGAAGAGAAGUCCGCGGCAGAUUAGCUAGUUGGUAGGGUAAUGGCCUACCAAGGCUUCGAUCUGUAGCCGGCCUGAGAGGGCGGUCGGCCACACUGACACUGACAUACGGGUCAGACUCCGUACGGGAGGCAGCAGUCGGGAAUUUUGGGCAA
RNAcentral lists this ribosomal RNA (360 nucleotides) under uncultured bacterium. Its description in RNAcentral is "bacterial SSU rRNA". It matches the Rfam family "Bacterial small subunit ribosomal RNA", at positions 32 to 371 of the family's 1533-position model. The record is from RNAcentral.